Molecule: ribosomal RNA, 468 nt
Filed under: uncultured bacterium
Lineage: Bacteria
Description: partial 16S ribosomal RNA
Rfam family: Bacterial small subunit ribosomal RNA
Source: RNAcentral
GACGAACGCUGGCGGCGUGCUUAACACAUGCAAGUCGAACGGAAAGGCCCUGCUUUUGUGGGGUGCUCGAGUGGCGAACGGGUGAGUAACACGUGAGUAACCUGCCCUUGACUUUGGGAUAUCUUCAGGAAACUGGGGCUAAUACCGGAUAGGAGCUCCUGCUGCAUGGUGGGGGUUGGAAAGUUUCGGAGGUUGGGGAUGGACCCGCGGCUUAUCAGCUUGUUGGUGGGGGAGUGGCUUACCAAGGCUUUGACGGGUAGCCGGCCUGGGAGGGUGACCGGCCACAAUAGGACUGAGGGACGGCCCAGACGCCAACGGGAGGCAGCAGGGGGGAAUAUUGCGCAGCGGGCGGAAGCCAGAUGCAGCAACGCCGCGUGCGGAAAAACGGCUUUCGGGUUGUAAACCGCUUUCUCCUGUGACGAAGCGGGAGUGACGGUAAUUGGUAAAGAAGCACCGGCUAACUACGUG